GACGAACGCUGGCGGCGCGCCUAACACAUGCAAGUCGAGCGAGAACCAGGACUUCGGUUCUGGGGACAGCGGCGAACGGGUGAGUAACACGUGGAUAACCUGCCCUCGGCACCGGAAUAGCCCGGGGAAACCCGGAUUAAUGCCGGAUAGCCCCACAUCCUCGAGAGGAAGUGGGAAAAGGUAGCUUCGGCCUCUGGCCGAGGAUGGGUCCGCGGUGGAUUAGCUUGUUGGCGGGGUAAUGGCCCACCAAGGCGACGAUCCAUAGCUGGUCUGAGAGGACGAUCAGCCACACUGGGACUGAGACACGGCCCAGACUCCUACGGGAGGCAGCAGUGGGGAAUCUUGCGCAAUGGGCGAAAGCCUGACGC
Molecule: ribosomal RNA, 368 nt
Filed under: uncultured bacterium
Lineage: Bacteria
Description: bacterial SSU rRNA
Rfam family: Bacterial small subunit ribosomal RNA
Source: RNAcentral